GUCUCAGUUCGGAUUNUAGGCUGAAACUCGCCUACAUGAAGCUGGAGUUGCUAGUAAUCGCGAAUCAGCAUGUCGCGGUGAAUACGUUCCCGGGCCUUGUACACACCGCCCGUCACACCAUGAGAGUUGGCAAUACCCAACGUACGUGAUCUAACCCGCAAGGGAGGAAGCGUCCUAAGGUAGGGUCAGCGAUUGGGGUGAAGUCGUAACAAGGUAUC
Molecule: ribosomal RNA, 218 nt
Filed under: uncultured bacterium
Lineage: Bacteria
Description: partial 16S ribosomal RNA
Rfam family: Bacterial small subunit ribosomal RNA
Source: RNAcentral